Molecule: ribosomal RNA, 251 nt
Filed under: uncultured bacterium
Lineage: Bacteria
Description: partial 16S ribosomal RNA
Rfam family: Bacterial small subunit ribosomal RNA
Source: RNAcentral
GUGGCGACCGGCGCACGGGUGCGUAACGCGUAUGCAACCUACCUUGUACAGAGGGAUAGCCCGAAGAAAUUCGGAUUAAUACCUCAUAGUAAUAUAAUACCUCCUGGUAUAAUAUUUAAAACUCCGGUGGUACAAGAUGGGCAUGCGUCCUAUUAGCUAGAUGGUAAGGUAACGGCUUACCAUGGCGACGAUAGGUAGGGGGCCUGAGAGGGUGACCCCCCACACUGGUACUGAGACACGGACCAGACUCC